GUAGGUGGCAAGCGUUGUCCGGGAAUUAUUGGGGCGUAAAGCGCGCGCAGGCGGUUCUUUAAGUCUGAUGUGAAAGCCCACGGGCUCAACCGUGGAGGGUCAUUGGAAACUGGAGAACUUGAGUACAGAAGAGGAAAGCGGAAUUCCACGUGCAGCGGUGAAAUGCGUAGAGAUGUGGAGGAACACCAGUGGCGAAGGCGGCUUUCUGGUCUGUAACUGACGCUGAGGCGCGAAAGCGUGGGGAGCAAACAGGAUUAGAUACCCUGGUAGUCCACGCCGUAAACGAUGAGUGCUAAGUGUUAGGGGGUUUCCGCCCCUUAGUGCUGCAGCUAACGCAUUAAGCACUCCGCCUGGGGAGUACGGCCGCAAAGGCUG
This 375-nucleotide ribosomal RNA is filed under the name uncultured organism. RNAcentral describes it as "partial 16S ribosomal RNA". It matches the Rfam family "Bacterial small subunit ribosomal RNA", at positions 527 to 896 of the family's 1533-position model. The record is from RNAcentral.